GAAGGUAUAGGUCAGUGGUAGAGCACAUGCUUAGCAUGCACAAGGUCCUGGGUUCAAUCCCCAGUACCUCCA
This 72-nucleotide transfer RNA is filed under the name Camelus bactrianus (Bactrian camel). It matches the Rfam family "tRNA". From Rfam's summary of the family: Transfer RNA (tRNA) molecules are approximately 80 nucleotides in length. The record is from Rfam by way of RNAcentral. RNAcentral also lists the same sequence under 3 other names. Lineage: Eukaryota; Metazoa; Chordata; Mammalia; Artiodactyla; Camelidae.